GACGAACGCUGGCGGCGUGCUUAACACAUGCAAGUCGUACGGUAAGGCCCUUUCGGGGGUACACGAGUGGCGAACGGGUGAGUAACACGUGAGUAACCUGCCCACAACUUUGGGAUAACGCUAGGAAACUGGUGCUAAUACUGGAUAUGUGCUCCUGCUGCAUGGUGGGGGUUGGAAAGCUCCGGCGGUUGUGGACGGACUCGCGGCCUAUCAGCUUGGUGGUGGGGUAGUGGCCUACCAAGGCGGCGACGGGUAGCCGGCCUGAGAGGGUGACCGGCCACAUUGGGACUGAGAUACGGCCCAGACUCCUACGGGAGGCAGCAGUGGGGAAUAUUGCACAAUGGGCGCAAGCCUGAUGCAGCAACGCCGCGUGCGGGAUGACGGCCUUCGGGUUGUAAACCGCUUUCAGCAGGGACGAAGCUUUUUGUGACGGUACCUGCAGAAGAAGCACCGGCUAACUACGUG
This 465-nucleotide ribosomal RNA is filed under the name uncultured bacterium. Its description in RNAcentral is "partial 16S ribosomal RNA". It matches the Rfam family "Bacterial small subunit ribosomal RNA", at positions 28 to 507 of the family's 1533-position model. The record is from RNAcentral.